This 119-nucleotide ribosomal RNA is filed under the name Lepisosteus oculatus (spotted gar). The record is from RNAcentral. Lineage: Eukaryota; Metazoa; Chordata; Actinopteri; Semionotiformes; Lepisosteidae.
ACCAGCAGCCAUAUCACCCUGCAACUCACAACUGGCAACCCACUGAAGCUAAGCAGGUGUGAGCCUGGUCAGUACAUGGAUGGGAGACCUCCUGGGAAAAACUUGGGUAUCUGCUGGAA